GUUGAAGCUGUCUCAGAUAACGAGGUAGAUUCUGAUAGUGAUGAUGAUAUUGUUGGUGAAGUUGUAUAUGAUGAAGAAUAUCUAAGGAAACGGAAGCAGAGGAAAACGUCGAGCAGCUCAGAAGGAGAUGAAGAAUAUAUAGGGGAUGAAGAAAAUCCCGAAGAGGAGGAAGAUAUCUUGAGUACAAGCGAGGAGAGUGAUGAGCCCCAUAAAUAUAAAAACAAAAUGUUGCCAUCCCGCACCAGGAGGGAAACCAAAUUGAGGUCAGUCGAUGAGCUACAGUCUGGUCUCAGACGCAGUAAAAGGGCAACCAGAACUCGUAUUGAUUAUAGACAGAUUGAGAUGUCUGAAUCAGAAACUGAAUUAAUGAAACCUGAGAAGUCAAAUGCAUUAGACGAGCACCCAACUGCUAGUGAUAAUGAAGAGUUCUCAACGGGAAGUCGAGAUUCAGAUUCGAGCAACGAAAAGCUUGAGAUGCAUGUUGAUCAGCCUGCUGAGGAGCAUCCUGAGACAAAUGAUGAGCAAACGCAUCCACCAGAAAAAUCAAAUGAGACAGAUCGAGACAAAGUUGGUGUACCGAAAAAGCAUUUUCUUGAUCUCAAUGAGCUCGCUCCUGGCUCUGGCUUUGACGAUAUUCCCAACUCUAUGAAAGACGAAGAUAAAGACAAUUUCUAAAGCCCGUCCACCAAAAUGCAAUGAUUGUACGUUCUCUCCCAGAGAAAUUGAUUUGUAUGCUAGGUAACUUAUAAACUGUGGUAAACCCACUCUACAGUGACUAUUAAAAGAGUUCCUAGGCGAAAUUUGAACGUUUAUCUCAGUUUCAUUCUGUAGAAUUGGCGUCGAGCAAAAUUAUAUAGUUUCGGAUAUUCUUAGUAUGUCUUGAUUCGACAGAAAACAAAUGAAGAUGUGUGGAUGGGAAAUUUGUUGUACUGUACAUUAACCUUUUUUAACUGAUUUCAGCAAAAGAAUUUUCUCUAUGAUGCUCUCUACUCUUGGCUUCACAUUUUCCAUGGUAUGAUUCAAUUGUCCAUGUAUGUAAACGCUGAUUUGGGCUGAGUUUUGUCGAUUGUAUAAUCAUGUUUAGAACUCAUUCGUUUGAAACUUUUUAUCCUCUUUUAGUUUCAUUCUCAGACGCAGUAAAAGGGCAACCAGAACUCGUAUUGAUUAUAGACAGAUUGAGAUGUCUGAAUCAGAAACUGAAUUAAUGAAACCUGAGAAGUCAAAUGCAUUAGACGAGCACCCAACUGCUAGUGAUAAUGAAGGGUUCUCAACAGGAAGUCGAGAUUCAGAUUCGAGCAACGAAAAGCUUGAGAUGCAUGUUGAUCAGCCUGCUGAGGAGCAUCCUGAGACAAAUGA
This 1356-nucleotide long non-coding RNA is filed under the name Olea europaea (common olive). RNAcentral describes it as "long non-coding RNA (OEUR_LNC003698)". The record is from RNAcentral. Lineage: Eukaryota; Viridiplantae; Streptophyta; Magnoliopsida; Lamiales; Oleaceae.